Molecule: transfer RNA, 76 nt
Filed under: Colwellia sp.
Lineage: Bacteria; Pseudomonadati; Pseudomonadota; Gammaproteobacteria; Alteromonadales; Colwelliaceae
Description: tRNA-Ile
Rfam family: tRNA
About the family: Transfer RNA (tRNA) molecules are approximately 80 nucleotides in length.
Source: RNAcentral
UGGAACAUAGCUUAGUUGGUAAAGCCUCCGACCGAUAAUCGGAAGACCCUUGGUUCGAGUCCAAGUGUUCCAACCA